This 484-nucleotide ribosomal RNA is filed under the name uncultured bacterium. RNAcentral describes it as "partial 16S ribosomal RNA". It matches the Rfam family "Bacterial small subunit ribosomal RNA", at positions 28 to 507 of the family's 1533-position model. The record is from RNAcentral.
AUUGAACGCUGGCGGCAUGCUUUACACAUGCAAGUCGAACGGCAGCGCGGGCUUCGGCCUGGCGGCGAGUGGCGAACGGGUGAGUAAUGCAUCGGAACGUGCCCAGUCGUGGGGGAUAGCACGGCGAAAGCCGGAUUAAUACCGCAUACGACCUGAGGGUGAAAGCGGGGGACCGAAGGGCCUCGCGCUAUUGGAGCGGCCGAUGUCGGAUUAGCUAGUUGGUGGGGUAAAGGCUUACCAAGGCGACGAUCCGUAGCUGGUCUGAGAGGACGACCAGCCCCACUGGGACUGAGGCACGGCCCAGACUCCUACGGGAGGCAGCGGUGGGGAAUUUUGGACAAUGGGGGCAACCCUGAUCCAGCCAUGCCGCGUGCGGGAAGAAGGCCUUCGGGUUGUAAACCGCUUUUGUUCGGGAAGAAAUCCUCUGGGCUAAUACCCCGGGGGGAUGACGGUACCGGAAGAAUAAGCACCGGCUAACUACGUG